RNAcentral lists this ribosomal RNA (574 nucleotides) under uncultured bacterium. RNAcentral's name for it is "bacterial SSU rRNA". It matches the Rfam family "Bacterial small subunit ribosomal RNA", at positions 53 to 643 of the family's 1533-position model. The record is from RNAcentral.
ACAUGCAAGUCGAACGAGAAAGGGGAGCAAUCCCUGAGUAAAGUGGCGACCGGGUGAGUAACACGUGACCAAUCUACCCUCGAGUGGGGGAUAACUCCGGGAAACCGGGGCUAAUACCGCAUAAUAUCUUCGGGUCGGAAGAACUGAAGAUCAAAGGAGCAAUUCGCUUGAGGAGGAGGUCGCGGCUGAUUAGCUAGUUGGCGGGGUAAUGGCCCACCAAGGCGAAGAUCGGUAGCCGGCCUGAGAGGGCGCACGGCCACACUGGAACUGAAACACGGUCCAGACUCCUACGGGAGGCAGCAGUGGGGAAUUUUGCGCAAUGGGGGAAACCCUGACGCAGCAACGCCGCGUGGAGGAUGAAGUCCCUUGGGACGUAAACUCCUUUCGACCGGGACGAUUAUGACGGUACCGGUGGAAGAAGCCCCGGCUAACUUCGUGCCAGCAGCCGCGGUAAUACGAGGGGGGCAAGCGUUGUUCGGAAUUAUUGGGCGUAAAGGGCGCGUANGCGGUGCGGUAAGUCACCUGUGAAAUCUCUGGGCUUAACUCAGAGUCUGCAGGCGAAACUGCCGUGCUG